This 1724-nucleotide long non-coding RNA is filed under the name Lactuca sativa (garden lettuce). RNAcentral's name for it is "long non-coding RNA (LSAT_LNC002764)". The record is from RNAcentral. Lineage: Eukaryota; Viridiplantae; Streptophyta; Magnoliopsida; Asterales; Asteraceae.
CUUCCUGCGCUACCGCCUCAGCCAAUGAGUCCGUCUACGUCACUAUUAUCCCUCGACGUAAUCCCCCUGCCUCAAUAGAAGAAGACCCAUCAGAGGACACGGAAGGUACAGGAAACUCGAUAGAGAUCAGCAAUCACAACGCCCUGAGUCAACGACGUGAGGCAUCACCUGUAUCGGUGUUGCCACAGCCGCCACUUUAUGGACUUCGCAUUCGGAGGACGGCGAGGAAGAGUGUUCCCAUUCCAGGAAGGAUACCCGCCAGCACAGCAGGACUCGGCAUGGCAGGACCUAGUGGAGCAGGACCCAACGUUGCAGGGCCGAGAGCACCCUCACCACAGCGAGUCAUAGGGAUACCUGUCAGGCAGCUAGGUAUGACCCCGGAGGAGUCCCGGAGAUUGCAGUCGAUGGCAGCGGGCCUACGCCACAGUCUCGCUGUGAUAGCUGGGCAUCAGGAAGUUUUGGACGAAGUGAUGAUAGGAAUGGAAAUCCUGUAUCAGCAUUCGACAAAGACUGCUAACACUGCUAGUGCUGCUAGACAAGAGGCAGGUCAUGCGAUGACAGCAUAUUAUGUUUUUGGUGGGCUGUUCCUGAUUGUGGUGUUGGUGCUUCUUGUUGGGCUAGCGAUUGGCUUUUGGUUCUGAUUCCUGUGUCAUAGAACCAUGUCAGGAAGGCCUAGUCGCGGGCACCCACAGAAUGAAACACCCGAUGUUGCUCAAGUUGUAGCACAACAGCUCUUGGAAGUAAUUCCAAACAUUGUUACUCAAGUGACUGCAGGACUUAAUGCUAACCAAGGAAGUAGUGGAGGAAACUGGGGAAACAAUGAAAGAGAAUGCAACUACAAGUCCUUUAUGGCCUGUAAACCUANAGGAAGUAUGGAGGAAACUGGGGAAACAAUGAAAGAGAAUGCAACUACAAGUCCUUUAUGGCCUGUAAACCUAAGGAAUUCCACGGAAAAGAAGGUGCUGUCGGGUUGCUGAAAUGGAUUGACAGCAUGGAGUCGGUCCUUCACAUUAGCAAAUGCCUCGAGCGCAACAAAGUUGAGUAUGCAACUUGCCUACUCCAAGAUAGGGCAUUAACCUGGUGGAAUACUCUAGUGCAAACCCGAGGCCGUACAGCGGCAUAUCAGCUAACUUGGGAAGACCUAAAGAAGCUGCUGAUAGAGGAGUAUUGUCCCAAGGAUGAACUUCAGAAGCUUGAAUCUGAAUUCUGGAACCAUUCUAUGGUUGGAACACAAAUAGAGAAGUACACAGUCCGAUUUCAUGAACUAGCAAAACUAGUACCUCACAUGGUUACUCCUGAGGAGAAACGGAUAGAUCGUUACAUCUGGGGUCUGGCACCAGAGAUUCGGGGAAUGGUUACCUCAGCAAACCCAACUACCAUUCAAAGUGCAGUAAGCCUAGCAAAUCGACUAACCAAUGAUGUGAUAAGGAUGGGAGCAUCAGCAAAGGAAAGCUCUAGUAGCAAGAGGAAGCCAACAAAUCAGGGAGAGAAGAAGUAUGGAGGCAAGUCAGGGAGGAAGCAGAAAGUCUCAAGAAACUUUAUGGUAAGAGCCCAGGAGCAAGAACCAGUGAAAACUCAAGGACAAGAAGUGCAGGAGCGAAAGCAGUACUCAGGGCCGCUUCCGAAGUGCAAUAAGUGUAACUUCCAUCACAAGGGAGCUUGCCCGGUGUGCCAAAACUGUAAGCAAACAGGCCAUUACUCGAAGUAUUGUAAGGUGAAUAAGG